GUCUCCUACAGAUGCAGACAGGGAGGAUGGAGACUGGGUCAACUGAAUGUCACAUCUGGCACCUGAGAUUGGAAACAGAAAAACAAAUAUCCACACAAUUGUAAGAGAAGUUCCCUGAAGAGCCAGGCUGUACUGAGCACACUGGGCCAAGUAAAUUCCUAAUGUUCCCCUUCCUUACCUGGGAGCCAGAGCAGCAGGAGCCCGAGAAGCUGAGCGAGGACCCUGAUGUCCAUGCUGCGUCCAGACUGGGUCUAACUCCUGCACGAAGUGUAACCAGCCUAUUAAGAAGUCUUCAGGGCAGGAGGAUGUGCCCUGCGAACAUGCAAAUGAGCAGAAGAUGGGGCAGACGGGGCACAGCUGCAGGGCUGGCUCAUCAGAGUAACUCAGUACCAGCUCAGUGUCCCCAGGUGUUCCAGUGACAAGGAACCUGUUAUAUCAGCUUGAAAGAGAACAAGAGAGACAGCUCACAAUCAGUGAGGACAUGAUGAGGUGCACACAUACCCCAGCUUCGUCAUCUCUCAGGUGGAACAGCCCAAAGGAAUUUAGUCCGUGUUUCCACAUGUGGUCGAUCUUCAGUUAUCCUGAGUCAGGAUUCUUCCACAUGACAAGAACCAUGGCUUCCACACCCCCUUAUCUAAACUCAAGUAUUUCUUUAUGAUGAAUUCAACUCUUUAGGCAGACCUUAACUCUUUCAACCAGUGGCCAGUCAGAAAACCUUUGAAUCCGUGUAUGAUCUGGAGCCCCUGCUUCAAGAUAUCCUACCUUUCUAGGACAAACUAACCAGCAUUGUCAUUACAACAGAGAUCUUUGGACUGACAAAACAGAUAGUUUUUAGCAACAAGAUACCAUACUCCAACAUGACAGAUAAUAGGCCCUGGAGAAAAUAAAAAUAUUUUACCCUAAAAAUAUUUAUUUGACAUAUUCUAAAAUGGCCCUGCAAAGCUGCCUGUUGUGGGGAAAAUUUGCAUUCUAUAGAGAAUCUCCUCCGCUUACGAAGUCUUUUCUGAAGAGUCUGACAUUUUUUAAAGGUCUGAUAAGCAACAUUCACCGUCUACUUUAUUUGCCACCCAUAGGAUUCAUCUACAUGACAAGAACCCCCCGUUUUCUAGACUCAAGCAUUUCUUUAUGGUGAAUUCAACUCUUUAGGCAGAGUUUAACUUUUUCAACCAGGAGCCAGUCAGGAAAGCUUUGACUGCACCUAUGACCUGGAAGCCCCUUCUUCAUGAUAUCCUACCUUUCCGGGAAAAACUAAUGUAUAUUUUAUGUGUAUUGAUUUAUGUCUUUGCCUGUAAUUUCUGUGUCUCCUAAAGUGCAUAAAAUCAAUGUGUAAUCCAACCACCCUGUGCACAUGUUUGCAGGACCUCCUAAGGCUGUGUCACAGGCCAUAAGCCAUAUAUUUGACAAAAUAAACCUGUAAAUUGAUUGAGA
Molecule: non-coding RNA, 1428 nt
Organism: Macaca mulatta (Rhesus monkey)
Lineage: Eukaryota; Metazoa; Chordata; Mammalia; Primates; Cercopithecidae
Source: RefSeq, a predicted model, not a curated record